This 622-nucleotide ribosomal RNA is filed under the name Rhodotorula diobovata. RNAcentral's name for it is "LSU rRNA". It matches the Rfam family "Eukaryotic large subunit ribosomal RNA", at positions 1 to 631 of the family's 3401-position model. The record is from RNAcentral. Lineage: Eukaryota; Fungi; Basidiomycota; Microbotryomycetes; Sporidiobolales; Sporidiobolaceae.
UUUGAUUAGAUCUCAAAUCAGGUAGGACUACCCGCUGAACUUAAGCAUAUCAAUAAGCGGAGGAAAAGAAACUAACAAGGAUUCCCCUAGUAGCGGCGAGCGAAGCGGGAAGAGCUCAAAUUUAUAAUCUGGCACCUUCGGUGUCCGAGUUGUAAUCUCUAGAAGUGUUUUCCGCGUUGGACCGCACACAAGUCUGUUGGAAUACAGCGGCAUAGUGGUGAAACCCCCGUAUAUGGUGCGGACGCCCAGCGCUUUGUGAUACACUUUCAAUGAGUCGAGUUGUUUGGGAAUGCAGCUCAAAUUGGGUGGUAAAUUCCAUCUAAAGCUAAAUAUUGGCGAGAGACCGAUAGCGAACAAGUACCGUGAGGGAAAGAUGAAAAGCACUUUGGAAAGAGAGUUAACAGUACGUGAAAUUGUUGGAAGGGAAACGCUUGAAGUCAGACUUGCUUGCCGGAGCUUGCUUCGGUUUGCAGGCCAGCAUCAGUUUUCCGGGGUGGAUAAUGACGGUUUGAAGGUAGCAGUCUCGGCUGUGUUAUAGCUUUCCGUUGGAUACGCCCUGGGGGACUGAGGAACGCAGCGUGCUUUUUGCGAAAGACUCGUCUGUCACGCUACGAUGCUGGGG